Molecule: ribosomal RNA, 1271 nt
Filed under: metagenome
Description: bacterial SSU rRNA
Rfam family: Bacterial small subunit ribosomal RNA
Source: RNAcentral
UAGCUAGUUGGUGGGGUAAUGGCCUACCAAGGCGACGAUGGUUAGCUGGUCUGAGAGGAUGAUCAGCCACACUGGAACUGGAACACGGUCCAGACUCCUACGGGAGGCAGCAGUGAGGAAUUUUGCGCAAUGGGGGAAACCCUGACGCAGCAACGCCGCGUGAGCGAAGAAGGCCCUCGGGUCGUAAAGCUCUGUCAAGUGGGAAAAAAAUCUUUUGAUCAAUAGUCAAAAGACUUGAUGGUACCACUGGAGGAAGCACCGGCUAACUCCGUGCCAGCAGCCGCGGUAAUACGGAGGGUGCAAGCGUUGUUCGCAUUUACUGGGCGUAAAGAGCGUGUAGGCGGUUUAGCAAGUCAGAUGUGAAAGCCCUGGGCUCAACCCGGGAAGUGCAUUUGAAACUGCUUCACUAGAGUAUGGGAGAGGAGAUUGGAAUUCCUGUGUAGAGGUGAAAUUCGUAGAUAUCAGGAGGAACACCCGUGGCGAAGGCGAUUCUCUGGACCAAUACUGACGCUGAGACGCGAAAGCGUGGGGAGCAAACAGGAUUAGAUACCCUGGUAGUCCACGCCGUAAACGAUGAGAACUAGGUGUAGUGGGUAUUGACCCCUGCUGUGGCGAAGUUAACGCAUUAAGUUCUCCGCCUGGGGAGUACGGCCGCAAGGCUAAAACUCAAAGGAAUUGACGGGGGCCCGCACAAGCGGUGGAGCAUGUGGUUUAAUUCGACGCAACGCGAAGAACCUUACCUGGGUUUGACAUCCUCUGAUCGUCUGGGAAACCAGAUUUUUCCGGCUUUGUCGGAACAGAGUGACAGGUGCUGCAUGGCUGUCGUCAGCUCGUGUCGUGAGAUGUUGGGUUAAGUCCCGCAACGAGCGUAACCCUUGUCUUUAGUUGCCAUUAUUAAGUUAGGCACUCUAAAGAGACUGCCUCGGUUAACGGGGAGGAAGGUGGGGAUGACGUCAAGUCCUCAUGGCCUUUAUAUCCAGGGCUACACACGUGCUACAAUGGGCUGUACAAAGGGUUGCUAUCCCGCGAGGGGGCGCUAAUCCCAAAAAGCAGUUCUCAGUUCGGAUUGAAGUCUGCAACUCGACUUCAUGAAGGUGGAAUCGCUAGUAAUCGUGGAUCAGCAUGCCACGGUGAAUACGUUCCCGGGCCUUGUACACACCGCCCGUCACACCACGAAAGUCGACUGUACCAGAAGUUGCUGGGCUAACCUCUUCGGAGGAGGCAGGUACCUAAGGUACGGCCGGUAAUUGGGGUGAAGUCGUAACAAGGUA